This 253-nucleotide ribosomal RNA is filed under the name uncultured bacterium. RNAcentral's name for it is "partial 16S ribosomal RNA". It matches the Rfam family "Bacterial small subunit ribosomal RNA", at positions 524 to 776 of the family's 1533-position model. The record is from RNAcentral.
UACGGGGGGAGCAAGCGUUGUUCGGAUUUACUGGGCGUAAAGGGCGCGUAGGCGGCCUGUUAAGUCGGACGUGAAAUCCCUCGGCUCAACCGGGGAACUGCGUCCGAUACUGGCGGGCUUGAAUUCGGGAGAGGGAUGUGGAAUUCCAGGUGUAGCGGUGAAAUGCGUAGAUAUCUGGAGGAACACCGGUGGCGAAGGCGGCAUCCUGGACCGACAUUGACGCUGAGGCGCGAAAGCCAGGGGAGCAAACGGG